GAUGAACGCUGGCGGCGUGCUUAACACAUGCAAGUCGAACGGAAAGGCCCUGCUUUUGUUGGGUUCUCGAUUGCCGAACGGGUGUGUAACACGUGUGUAACCUGCCCUUAACUUUGGGAUAACUUCAGGAAACUGGGUCUAAUACCCCGUAUAAUCUCCUGCUGCCUGGUGUGGGUUUGAAAGUUUCGGCGGUUCGGUAUGUACUCGCGGCUUAUCAGCUUGUUUGUUGGGUAGUGGCUUACCAAGGCUUUGACGGGUAGCCUGCCUGAGAGGGUGCACGGCCACAUUGGGACUGAGGUACGGACCAGACUCCUACGGGAGGCAGCAGUGGAGAAUAUUGCAGAGUGGGCGGAAGCGUGAGGCAGAAACGCCGCGUGCGGGGUGACGGCCUUCGGGUUGUAAACAGCUUUCGCCUGUAACGAAGAGUGAGUGACGGUAAUGAGUAAAGAAGCACCGGCUAACUACGUG
RNAcentral lists this ribosomal RNA (468 nucleotides) under uncultured bacterium. Its description in RNAcentral is "partial 16S ribosomal RNA". It matches the Rfam family "Bacterial small subunit ribosomal RNA", at positions 28 to 507 of the family's 1533-position model. The record is from RNAcentral.